GACGAACGCUGGCGGCGUGCUUAACACAUGCAAGUCGAACGGAAAGGCCCUGCUUUUGUGGGGUGCUCGAGUGGCGAACGGGUGAGUAACACGUGAGUAACCUGCCCUUGACUUUGGGAUAACUUCAGGAAACUGGGGCUAAUACCGGAUAGGAGCUCCUGCUGCAUGGUGGGGGUUGGAAAGUUUCGGCGGUUGGGGAUGGACUCGCGGCUUAUCAGCUUGUUGGUGGGGUAGUGGCUUACCAAGGCUUUGACGGGUAGCCGGCCUGUGAGGGUGACCGGGCACAUUGGGACUGAGAUACGGCCCAGACUGCUACGGGAGGCAGCAGUGGGGAAUAUUGCACAAUGGGCGGAAGCCUGAGGCAGCAACGCCGCGGGCGGGAUGACGGCCUUCGGGUUGUAAAACGCUUUCGCCUGUGACGAAGCGUGAGUGACGGUAAUGGGUAAAGAAGCACCGGCUAACUACGUG
This 468-nucleotide ribosomal RNA is filed under the name uncultured bacterium. Its description in RNAcentral is "partial 16S ribosomal RNA". It matches the Rfam family "Bacterial small subunit ribosomal RNA", at positions 28 to 507 of the family's 1533-position model. The record is from RNAcentral.